Long non-coding RNA from Cebus imitator (Panamanian white-faced capuchin), 626 nucleotides. RefSeq lists it as uncharacterized. The transcript has 3 exons. Lineage: Eukaryota; Metazoa; Chordata; Mammalia; Primates; Cebidae. The record is from RefSeq and is a predicted model, not a curated record.
CCCACGAAUGUGACCUUAUUUGGAAAGGGGAUCUUUUCAGAUCUCAUUAAGUUAAGGAUCUUGAGAUGAGAUUACUCUGGUUUAUCCAAGUGGGCCCUACAUCUAAUGACAAAUGUCUUUCUAAAUGAAAGAGAGGGAUUUUAGACAGAUAGAAGAGAAGACACAGAUAAGAGGAGGAGGCAAUGUGACUGCAGAGACAGAGAUUGGUGUGAUGAGGCCACAAGUCAAGGAGUGCUGGCAGUCACCAACAGCUGGAAGAGGCAGAGAACAGAUCCUACCGAUUCCAGAGCCUCCAGAGGGAGCAUGGUCUUGCCAACACUUUGAUUCCAGACUUCUGUCCUCCUAGAAUGAUGAGAGAACAUAUUGCUGUUGUUUUUAACCCACGAAGUUUGCUAUUUCUGGCAUUGUGGCAAUCAACAAUAGGGUCACUGCUACCCCAUGUAGAGCCCUAACCAUCCCUUCUACUGACAGGAAAUUUUGCUUCUCUUUGCCUGAUAAUCCAAGAGGGAGGACCAGCAUCUCCAUGGCAUCUCACUCUGAUUUGUGAAGAUUUGGCCAGAGAAAUUGUUCUCAAGAGGGUGAAUUACAUGACAGCUUCUAUUUUAUGGCACCUUGCUAUCCACUUU